GACGAACGCUGGCGGCGUGCCUAAUACAUGCAAGUAGAACGCACAGUUUAUACCGUAGCUUGCUACACCAUAGACUGUGAGUUGCGAACGGGUGAGUAACGCGUAGGUAACCUGCCUGGUAGCGGGGGAUAACUAUUGGAAACGAUAGCUAAUACCACAUAAUAUUAAUUAUUGCAUGAUAAUUAAUUGAAAGGUGCAAUUGCACCACUACCAGAUGGACCUGCGUUGUAUUAGCUAGUAGGUGAGGUAACGGCUCACCUAGGCGACGAUACAUAGCCGACCUGAGAGGGUGAUCGGCCACACUGGGACUGAGACACGGCCCAGACUCCUACGGGAGGCAGCAGUAGGGAAUCUUCGGCAAUGGACGAAAGUCUGACCGAGCAACGCCGCGUGAGUGAAGAAGGUUUUCGGAUCGUAAAGCUCUGUUGUAAGAGAAGAACGGGUGUGAGAGUGGAAAGUUCACACUGUGACGGUAUCUUACCAGAAAGGGACGGCUAACUACGUG
This 505-nucleotide ribosomal RNA is filed under the name uncultured bacterium. Its description in RNAcentral is "partial 16S ribosomal RNA". It matches the Rfam family "Bacterial small subunit ribosomal RNA", at positions 28 to 507 of the family's 1533-position model. The record is from RNAcentral.